GUAAUAGGUAAGUUCUUGAAACCCAAAGGAUUUGGCGGUAUUUUAGUCCUUUCAGAGGAAUCUGUCCCAUAAUCGACAGUCCACGAGUAAAUUUACUUAAUUUUGUAUAAUCAGUUUGUAUACCUCCGUCAUAAGAGUAUCUUUUUAGAGAUAAAUUUUCUUAAUAUACUAAAUAUAGAAUGUCAGGUCAAGGUGCAACUUAUAAUUAAGUGGAGAUGGAUUACAAUAAAUUUAUUUAAAUGGAUUAAAUUAUUUAAUUUUUUAUGAAGGUGGAUUUGAUAGUAAAAUUAAUAUAUAAUUAUUUUGAUUUAGGCUCUAAAAUAUGCACACAUCGCCCG
RNAcentral lists this ribosomal RNA (338 nucleotides) under Tanypteryx hageni. Its description in RNAcentral is "partial 12S ribosomal RNA". Lineage: Eukaryota; Metazoa; Arthropoda; Insecta; Odonata; Petaluridae. The record is from RNAcentral.